Molecule: microRNA precursor, 78 nt
Filed under: Schistosoma curassoni
Lineage: Eukaryota; Metazoa; Platyhelminthes; Trematoda; Strigeidida; Schistosomatidae
Description: mir-3492 microRNA precursor family
Rfam family: mir-3492 microRNA precursor family
Source: Rfam by way of RNAcentral
AACUCUCUGAAUCCGUGCAGAGAUUUCGCCAGACGCCAACCCAUUAGGGCUGGUCAGACUUCCAAGAUGAUUGAAGAU